UUUUAGUGAUGUGAUGAGC
Molecule: non-coding RNA, 19 nt
Filed under: Rattus norvegicus (Norway rat)
Lineage: Eukaryota; Metazoa; Chordata; Mammalia; Rodentia; Muridae
Source: RNAcentral